RNAcentral lists this non-coding RNA (109 nucleotides) under Paramoeba aestuarina. Lineage: Eukaryota; Discosea; Flabellinia; Dactylopodida; Paramoebidae. The record is from RNAcentral.
AUGAAAGGUAUGAUGAGAAGAGAAGGAAGAAAAGAAAGAAGGAAAAACAAAAACAAAUUGAAGAGAGGGGUUUUUUAUCUUCUCUCUCUCUCUCUCUCUCUCUCUCUCU